CCCUGAGCCCUUCACACACUGAGAGGAUAUUUCAGAUCUUAGAGUCAGCAGAGGAGCAUGAGUAGGCAUCUAGGUCCACCCUUCCUCUCUUCAGUGAGGAUCUCUCAGCCCAGAUCCCUGGUCAAGGUCAUUCAUAAAGUCACAGGCAGAGUGAGGAGUCAAACCCAGAUGUCUUCCCAGUCAUCUUGGCUGUCCCAUCCUGUGGUGGUCUUUAGAAAGCCACUCGAUAUCAGCCUAUUUGGACUCAGACCAUAUAUUAAAAGGUGAAUUCAAUGCUUGCUUCCCUUGGGGAGGAUGACUCUUGAUCCAGCACGGCCGUCGCGUCUGACAGCAGUGAGGGGGCACUGCCUCCCUGCGUUCCCUCCGCAGACACCACAGAAAUGACCCAUUCGUGAGGCCACAUGGAACAUGAACGUUUUGGGGAAUGAGUCCAUAUUCAGAGUCAGAAAAAUUCCAGGGAAUCCAGACCCAUGAUUUUAUUAGAUUCCUGCUUAGAAGGAGAAUUAUCUCUGUAUGUAGAAUCUGAGCCCACGAGCGAUGCCCGAGACAGGAAGUACAGCUCUUCUGUGUCUGACUCCAACAAGAACGACCGGCUUUUCUCUCUUAUGAUGUAUCUAAUUCUAGAGGUAAAGCCGAAAUGCUGAAUUUUAUUUCUGUGAUUUUUCCUUCAGGCCCAGUCCCUCCAUGGGGUAGCGUCUUACGCCAUGGAUCUCAUUUCACCUAACCAGCUGUCCGAAGUCGCCUGUCUCCUGUCCCUUUCAGAACCUCACUGACGGACCAACGAAACUGAUAAGAUGUGAUAAUUCUUGUGUUAGAGGACAAGAUUUGAUUUUUAAACACAGGCCUCCUGGAAGCAUAAUGUUUUAGCUCAAGAAUUACGUCUCUUCUGCCAGUGGAGAUUUCUGGCAUUAGAUCACGUUGGGAGGGAGGACGUUUAAUAUGCAGCUCUUGCAUUGGAAGCUCCUACGGCUAAGGAAAACCAUAAGGACCACAGGACAGCUGAGCAUACACAGAGCCCAAACACGGAGGAAUGGGAGACAUGAUUGACCCCGUGGGAGCCCUGCUCUGCUGUGGGCAUCACCUGGCACUGGACCAGGGCGCUCCAACAGGCUGGCAUGCGGUGGGGGACGUGAAAGUUGUAGCGGCUCAUCCAUGAUUCCGUGCCAAGCUGGAGUGAAGAAAACGCCCUUAACACAUCCCUGCGGAGUGAUCCAAACGCCGGAAUAAUGGUCCAUUUGUCGGGCCCCGCAAAACUUCUGUGUCAAGGAAGGGUUUGUCUUAGCUUCCUUUCGCCUGUUAAAGACGGUUCUAGAAAUUCUUGCCAUGUUAGUCCUAUGUUUUUUUUUUUUCCCCUUGACAGCGUGGACACCGACCUUCUACUCUGCACUUUGAAAUCUAUAUGGCUUUUCUAAGUAAAAUGUGAAAAAGUGCUUUGGGAUUGGAGUUGCUUGGAAUUACAGCCAUGGUAGGCUAAGCUCCUCCGAACCCUUUCUUUCUCUCAGGGUCUUUCUUUUCAUCAGAGUGAGAAAAACAGAUCUUUUUAUUUUCGAAAACAUGAGAGUGCAUGGCUAAGUGAUUCCUUCCCUACUUGUCUGGGGGCUACGUGGAGGUAGGAGAAGGAAUGCAAAACGAAGAGAGGAAAGGAAAGCCUAGGAGCCUGGGGGUGGUGGUGGUGGUUAUUUGCUUUCUCCUCCAUUCCCCAGCCUCACCCUCUGCUUUUGGGUGCCGUGCCCUAUGCUUUGGGAAAUGACCUCAGUGGACCCUGUCACUGGAGCUCUUGCCUGUUGCUGUCUGGCUGGUUUGGCUAAUAGGAGCCAUGGAGAGGUUGAGGGAGGGAGGCAGAGAGAGAGAGAGGUCUGGGCAUUUAUCUCCCCCUGCCCUUGCACGACUGGCCACAGUUCUGGAAAUUUCUCUGUCUGUGGUUGGCUCCAGGACGUGUAUCUCCUCCUUUUUCCCCUCAGGCUUAGGAGUAGUAGUUGCUCCCAUCCUUCUGUUGCUUCAUCAUGGCUCAUUAUUUCUUUCAGGGCUGCCUACCGCUUUGCAAAUAGUCUUCAUUGAAAUGUUCUCUCAGUUAAACCUUUGAAUAUGCCAAUGGUAUCCUCACUUCACCAUCCUCACAGCUCAGAGGACAUUUGCUUUCUCAUAUUGGCUAACUAAAGCAAUAGCAUGUAUUCUGGAAAACUCUGGCAUCCUCUCUUCUUCUGCUACUGUAUAGCGAGGAAGUAAUCAAGGUCACCAUUGUGCAUCUCUCAGUGGACUCUUGUACCUUUUUAAUCAUUCACGCAUGUGCCUUCUUGUGGUUUCCACCAGGUGCAUGCAGGCUAGGCUAGGAUGGAUGGGAAUGAGGUUCCCUGUGAGACAUAAUAACAGAUGUAACAAAACAAAAAUAAAAACAAAAACCACAGACGUGUAUGUAUGUAUCUGCAAGGGUAUGCUGGCCAGUGUUUUAAGACUAGCCCUCUUGGUGGGGGUGGCUGUUUUAUGGCAUUUGUCAUUUUCUGUGGUGUAACUAUUU
Mustela erminea (ermine) is the source of this 2515-nucleotide long non-coding RNA. RefSeq lists it as uncharacterized. The transcript has 4 exons. The record is from RefSeq and is a predicted model, not a curated record. NCBI's taxonomy places the organism in Eukaryota, Metazoa, Chordata, Mammalia, Carnivora, Mustelidae.